GUUAAAAAAAUCAGUUCAGACCUAGAGAGAGAGAGACAGAGAGGGAGAGGGAGAGAGAGCGAGAGAGAGAGAGGGAGGAGCGAGUGUGUAUGCGAGCGAGUGUGUAUGCGAGGGAGUGUGCGUGUGAGCAAGAGGGCGAGAGCGAGGAGCCGAGGCAGCGAGGGGGGGUGGGAAAAAAAGGAAAAGAAGAUUUUUUCCUCUAUGUAUAUAAAGAUGGCCACGUUAGCGAACGGACAAGCAGACAAUCCCAGCCUCAGUAGCAACCACACUAACCCCAACCCCAGCGGGCACAUGAACGGAUUUAACCACAGUCCCGGGAACCCGUCCACCAUUCCCAUGAAGGACCACGAUGCCAUCAAGCUCUUCAUUGGGCAGAUCCCUCGCAACCUGGACGAGAAGGACCUCAAGCCCCUCUUCGAAGAGUUCGGAAAGAUCUACGAACUGACCGUGCUCAAGGACCGGUUCACGGGCAUGCACAAAGGUUGUGCCUUCCUAACAUACUGUGAAAGGGAGUCCGCUCUAAAAGCCCAGAGUGCGCUGCACGAACAGAAGACGCUGCCAGGGAUGAACAGACCGAUCCAGGUGAAACCGGCGGACAGCGAGAGCCGAGGAGAAGACAGAAAACUCUUUGUGGGCAUGCUCAACAAACAACAGUCAGAGGAUGACGUGCGCAGGCUAUUUGAGGCGUUCGGCAACAUUGAGGAGUGUACGAUCCUUCGGGGCCCAGACGGCAACAGCAAAGGGUGUGCGUUUGUGAAAUAUUCCUCGCAUGCGGAAGCCCAGGCGGCCAUCAAUGCGUUGCACGGAAGCCAGACGAUGCCGGGGGCAUCGUCGAGCCUGGUGGUCAAGUUUGCCGACACGGAUAAGGAGCGCACCAUGAGGCGCAUGCAGCAAAUGGCCGGGCAGAUGGGCAUGUUCAACCCCAUGGCGAUCCAGUUUGGAGCAUACGGCGCAUAUGCACAGGCAAUGCAGCAACAAGCGGCCAUUAUGGCGUCCGUGGCCCAAGGUGGUUACCUCAACCCCAUGGCGGCUUUUGCAGCAGCUCAGAUGCAGCAGAUGGCCGCCCUGAACAUGAACGGUCUUGCCGCCACGCCCAUGACACCCACCUCAGGUGGCAGCACGCCUCCGGGCAUCACUGCAUCAGCCGUGCCUAGCAUCCCCUCUCCAAUUGGGGUAAACGGUUUCACUGGCCUACCGCCUCAAGCCAAUGGGCAGCCCGCUGCAGAAGCUGUCUUUGCCAACGGCAUCCAUCCUUACCCAGCACAGAGUCCAACCGCAGCCGACCCCUUGCAACAAGCCUACGCCGGAGUGCAGCAGUAUGCAGGUCCUGCUUACCCUGCUGCGUAUGGCCAGAUUAGCCAAGCCUUUCCACAGCCGCCUCCCAUGAUCCCGCAACAACAGAGAGAAGGACCAGAGGGCUGCAACCUGUUUAUCUACCAUCUCCCCCAGGAGUUUGGGGACCCAGAGCUGAUGCAGAUGUUCCUGCCAUUCGGUAAUGUCAUCUCCUCGAAAGUGUUUGUGGAUCGGGCGACAAACCAAAGUAAAUGCUUUGGUUUUGUGAGUUUCGACAAUCCGGCGAGCGCUCAAGCCGCAAUCCAGGCUAUGAACGGCUUCCAGAUUGGCAUGAAGAGGCUGAAAGUGCAGCUGAAAAGGCCGAAGGAUGCUAACCGCCCCUACUGAAGCAUGGUGGGAAACUCUGGAUAAGCAAGGUCUAGCACAGAGCCAGUCAAAUCCACCACAGUCUCGCGCUGAGCUAGGAAAAAAGUUCACGUAAUGACAGGAAAGUGGAGAAUACAGAGUCCCCCCAGUCCGGCAUCAGCUGAAUGGGCCGCAUUUAGAGAAAUAUACAUAUAUAUAUAUUAAAUAAAUAUAUAUAGGAACGAGAACUGUUGGAUUACACCUUUAACAUAUCAGCAAAUAUCAGUCAAGCUGAAGACUUCAGAUUUACUCUCUUUCUGAUUGUUGAGACUAAACAUUUUCUUCAAGAAAAGUCACCAUCAGCUGGGUCCGAAGGACAAUGCUUGAAAAACGAAACGUAUAACAACCAAUCACAAGAACAAGAUUGACUAGGAUUUCUGCAGAAAACUGAUGUCAUCACAGCGACUUUCCUCCAAACAGGAAAUGCAAACCUUGAUACUGAAAAAGGAGUGCCUGUUUGCCACCAAGGAUGCGGUUGCUAUGGAGACCCCAUGGCAACCAGUCACUAAGCAUCUAUCUGUCAUUCCUUAGCUAUAUAGGGACCAAAGGACAUAACUUUUUAUCGCAAACUUGUAGCUGUAUGUAAAUUACAGAAGUUCUUUCCUUUUCUCUUUAGCUGUUCCUAUAACAGUUUUUGAGAGCAAUUAUAUGAAAUAUGUAAAAAUUGAAAAAAAAAAUGCUUAAAACGCUUUUAACAAAUGGCAAGAUAAUAGUUCUUUGAUACUUUGGAGGAUCUUUGGUUAUACAUUAGUUAGAGUCUACGAAACUUUCAUAUGGUUUUCUGUAUAAUAUGUAUGGAUUGAGUGGUUAAAAGGGCAGGUAAAGGAGGGUUAUCUGUGAAAAGCAAAAAAAAACCUAAAUAAAAAAAUCAAUUAAAAAAACAGAUCGGUGGGCCAGAAAGUAAAGAAGGAAAAAGAACUCUGAUACAAAGUAGAAAGUGAACAAAUUUGUAAAUGCUUCUGACCCCACCCCCUUUAAAUUCUAAUAGUUGUACAGAAUUUAAAAAAAAGAAAAAACUUUAAAAUACCUAUAUUAAGGGGUGGGUGGGGAGGAUUAGACAACAUAAAAAGCAAAAAAAGCAAAAAAAUAUACAUAGAAGUUAGCAUUACUGCUAAAAAAACAAAGAUGUAGUAGAACUGUAACUUUUGUAGAGUUUAGAUUGAACUCAGUUCCUGCUCUCAGCCAAUCGCUGUUGGAAGCUGUGUCUUAUCAGGGAGGGGGCGGGGCAAAGGAGACGAAGGCUUUACAUGGCAGCUUUUUUAACUGCAACCAUUCCAGCUAGUAAUACGUCAAGAAAUAACCGAAUAAGCCAAGAAUCAAAAUGCUCAACUCCUGUAGACCGUGCAAGUGGAAAACGAACUGCUGUCUUCUGACGAACUGUCCAAAGUUUGUUCGAAAACUUGGCUAAAGGCGAAACGAAGCCACAGCAAAGAUGCUUUCAUAUUUCCAUGAGCUGUUGCAAGCAACCUCCCGUCAUCUUUCGCUUCAGUAGAUUCCAUAUUUGCUCUAGAAUCCUUCAGGACAAGGGGUGGGGCGGGGCGGGGGUUUAGCCUAGAACCUUAAUCUUAAAAAAACAAAAACGCUAAAAAAAAUAAAAACACAAAAAGAAAAAACCACAAAAAAUGCAAUCUCUUUGAAGAAUUUCUGAAACUGUUUACAAGGAAUUUUGAAAAACAGGGGGGAUGUUUAAAAAUAAAAAAAAGAUGCUGGCUCUGUUUUUCUGUAAAUAAAUUUGCAUAUUUUGUAGGACUUUUAAUUGUAAUGAUAGAGAAAAAAAAUCAAGGAAAAAUAUUUAAUGAAAGCACGAUAUUUAUCUUUGGUAAAUGACUUUAGAGCAGUUUAAAAAAAAGUUGCUUUAAAAUCUGAAUCAGAAAAAAAAUAGAAACAAUGAAUUAUUUAAGAACACAUAUAUUUUAAAGUAUAUCAUAUUUAUUAUAAUUUAUUUCCAUUAUGUUAAGGUUUGGUUUUUAAGAGGGGCUUUCCCCCCUCUCAGUUCAUUGGAUUGGACUGAGAAAAACGACAUGGUUCUCUCGGAAUAAUUAUUUGUUUGCCUUUUUGGUUCUUUUGUGGGAAUUUUUUAAAGGGUUAUUUUUUCUCCUUUUUCCCCCCUAUCGGGGCUGAUUUUGAGGUCUCCAUGCUGGCUAAACACCCCUGGGAUUACUUGGGUUGUUUGACUGGGGGGAGACCACCCACAAAACAGCCUCCAACCAGGUGUGUCCCUUGCUGCUGCAGUUCCGUACGACUGCUCUCUGAUUCUCAAUUCCCUAAAACUCCUUGUAAUCUUAUGUAAUUACUGAAUGACGCUUAACCAGCUUAGCCCUAAAUAAAGCACAGUUUAAAAAAAAA
Sphaerodactylus townsendi is the source of this 4044-nucleotide RNA transcript. It is a transcript of the gene named CUGBP Elav-like family member 4, with no coding region annotated. The transcript has 14 exons. The record is from RefSeq and is a predicted model, not a curated record. Lineage: Eukaryota; Metazoa; Chordata; Lepidosauria; Squamata; Sphaerodactylidae.